Molecule: long non-coding RNA, 4066 nt
Organism: Cebus imitator (Panamanian white-faced capuchin)
Lineage: Eukaryota; Metazoa; Chordata; Mammalia; Primates; Cebidae
Exons: 3
Source: RefSeq, a predicted model, not a curated record
UCCAGCCUAGGCAACGCUGAGACACCGGCUCUGAAAACCCACAAAACUUAAAAGAUGAACACAGAUAAACUAUGGGAGCCCGGUAUGCGGUAAGCACUCUACAGGUGACAGCCUGGAACCCAGGACAGGUCACGAAAGGCUGCCGGCUUCAGUCACUGCCUGGUGGAAAACAAGCCUGUCUUUGGGACCAGCCAGCUAACAAGUGAGCGUUUCACCACAUCUGAAGGCAAAGUACCCAAAUGGGCAACCGUGGACGGCUAUGUAAAAAUCAAGACUCCUGGGACACCUUCUUGGGACACAUUCUUAAUAAACAGAUACGUGCAUGAGGACUUUGUAUGCAUUUCUAUGCAACAGGCCACCCAAACCUCAGUGAGCAAAAACCUCUCUUCACUGCUCAUGACCCUGUGGGCCUGCAGCUUGAGCCAGUUCAGCUGAGACUGCUUCUCUCAGCCCCACGAGGUGACCACUGGGCCUACUUAUCAGCAGUGGCCUCCUGGCAGAUCCGGGCAACGUGUCACCAGCCAGGCUGGCCAGGCCUCCCUCCCGGCGGGUCUCUAUCGGUCUCUAUUGGCAGCGAGAGAAAGCAAAUCCCUGUGGUGCUCCCAUCCCUCUCCCCAGGAGAAGCAGAGCAGCAGAAAGCAGAUGGCGGCCAGGGCCGGGACCCUCUGCUGUUCCCACAGGCCUCUCCAGAGGCUCUGCAGGACCAGCCAGCAGCCUCUAAUGGUCCCGUCCUGUUCCACGCCCUCAGAUGCCAUCCUCUCCACAGAGAUGGUUCCUGCCAUGGCGCUCUCCCUAACUUGGAAGAAUGGCACUCCCCUUGAUGCUGAUGUCAGGGAGGAAAGCAGUUUCCAGUCGCCCAGGCCCAGGACAGGGCAUUCCCAGCUAUCGUGGAGCAUGGAGCUCCAGGAUGCCCACUUGGGUGCCUUUGAGAUGAGGCGCUUUGAGAAGGAAUCCUGCAGUCUCCUGAGGAGGUCCAAAGAAAUUUCGAGGAUAUCUCAGCCAUCCGUUCUUUGUUCACUGUGGAAGUCGAACACUAGGGCUCCUGGAGGGGCCCUGGGUCUCCAUAGAAGCAUUAGCAGCCACCAUCUACUUCCUGGACUUCCGUGCCUGCCCCACCUCUGUUAUGUUGUUAAAUGCCUCCUUUGUGGGAAUUAUGGAAUAAACAAUCACUUUGGUGUCCCAGAAGAUGAACCUGAUGCUCGAGGGCUUGAGUGCAGGAAUCCAGCCAGGCUCCCUCUGUAUGCCCCAGGAUACGGAGUUAGGCUUUGCAAAAGCAUGUGAGACAUCAGCCGCUGUGAAACAUGGUCUACACAGCACCAAAAACCCGUUUGGCCAUGUUUUCCCUUCAGUAGAGUUAAAUGGCAUGACCCUGUGACUGUCCCCCAUAAGAGGAAUUACAAAUUAUGCUGGCAUUGCCAGUUUACAGGAUACAGUGGCACAAAAUGAUUUCCACCAGCUUAGGAUAUAGACCCAGGCAGACUCGAGAGAUUAAGUGGAUUUCAAACUGUGGUCUCAAGCCUUCCGGGAACUGCCCGAAAGGGAGGGAGGCUGCCAGUCUGGGAGUGGCCCAGCUGCCCAGCCUAUUCACACACUGGGCUUUCAGUUGAAAAGUGUUCAAAGCUUACACGUGUAAAUGCCACUGAUCUGUGAACUCCCUUCCUGUCAUGCCCAGAGGCUGGCAGAGUGUAGCUAGAAGGGUGGGACCAGAGGGCUGGGUCACGUGACAUGCGCACGGGGGUGCUGGCCUCCCUGGCCAGGGUGGCCAGCACAGCCUCUCUUUCCCUUUCCAGCCACACAGGUCAAUCGUGUGCUUGGAUUUCUGUCUCCCGAAUUACAGAGUGUGUUGCCAACCUGCUGUGCUGAGGCAGUGGCCCGGUCUUGGUCCGGGUGUCCUAGGACUGAUUGAAGAAGCCUGUUGGACUGUAGUACCUGUGUACAACCAAAGAUGUAGCUUUAAACCAUCUUGGCUUGUUUUAUUUAAUUCUGCCCAAUCUAUUUGAGGAAGGACACUCACGGGUACUUUUUAGAUUAUAGCCUAAAGUGGAUUAUUGAUUUCCUUGUUUCUAAACCAUCAGAAGGAACAUAAAACUGCUAAUAAGAGGUGACCAAUAUUCCAUGAUAUCAUGAUUUGAGACAUAACAUUUUUUUGCCCUAUAUUUUAAAAAUAAAAAGACAUGAGACUGGAGUGGCAAAAGCCAGAUGGUGCCAAACCAUUCAAUCAGCAGCUGCCAUGGUGGUGGAUACCUUGUGUAAGGCCCGCCCAGCUCACAGUGUGCCACCGUCCCCGGGACAACUCCCAACUCCCACAGUGAUGGAGCAGGAGCGGUCUGUCUGUGCUCUGUGACAGGCAUGCAGUCCACCCCUACUCCAGGACAUCAGGCGGGAUUCUGACUCCCAGGAUGGCCCUGGGUGCUUAGAGCUGGCAUUGAGACAAUUGUAAGUCUCUCUUCGUGCCUAGGCCUGAAAGGUUUAAGCCCAGCGCAGUUAGGAUGGUCUCUAUCACUUGCCAGCCUAAAGAGACAAAAAUGGAGUAGACAUACAGGGGCAGGCGAGAGAGGACAUUCCGAUGACCUUUCAGUGCCAUAGGCAGUGUGGUAUGCAUGGGUGAACACGUGGCCAGGAAGAUGUCUUUGCUUCAGGGCAUUCAUGUUCUAGUGGGGAGAUGGCAUCAGGGAGCGGUGCAGUGUGAUAACUGGGACACCAUCCAGGGCAGGAGCAGAGGCGUGAGGGUCAGUGCAGACCAGGCUGUGCCAUGCAGCGCCGGCCGAGUUGUUUGGCCUCUCUGAGCCUGUUCUGUAUCUGUAAGAAGGAGUCGAAGGAUGAAAAGGCUCAGGUGGUGACAGAGAAAUGCAGUUUUCUAAUGGAGAGGCAUGUGAAUGGUUGCAGGAGCCAAGGGCGCUGCAGCCGCCCCACUCAGGAGCAUCAGAGCUAGCUGCAGGAAGCUACGCUGAGCCUUGGAGGAUGAGAAGACAUUGAUGGCAGGAGCGCCCACAGCAGAGGAAAGAGCACUUCCGUGGCACGUAAAGUCAGAGAAGAAAGGAGGCUUAUGCCACCACUGGUCAGAAGAGUCCUCCUGAUCGGGCCACUUAGACCUGCAGUCUGUAGAGACCAGGGAAAGGGAACGUGAUGCGUGAUGAAAUCAGAGGUGGGCAAGCUGAGCCUUGGCCUGACGCUGUGCAGUCCGAAGCUAAGAAUGAACAUUAAACAUGUAAAGUGUUGGGUUGGUUGAGGGUUCUGAAGAAGAUAUGCAGUGGGCUUAUGUGGCCAGCAGAGCUGUAAAUCUUUGCCAUCUGGUCCUUUACAGAGAAAGGUAAUCCCUGGUUUAGCCAAGUAGGGUCUACUUCUGGAGCUGGGAGUUAGAGCAGCUGCCAUCGAAGCACACAGACCAAGGGUGGCAGGGCAGAAACACAAAGCCAAAUCAGCACCAUGGGCGAGGGGACGGGAUCUCUGAGGCACCCAGCGGUGUCUGCCUGGAGCUCAGGCACGCGUGCAGCUUCCAUGCAGAACACUUGUAUCAGGUGUCAAGAGUGAAAGUAGAAAGAGGUAAGAGGAUUUUGGAAUUAGACUCAACAGGACUUAGUGAUAGAUUCACGGGAGAGGCGCGGGAAGGGAACAUCAGGGCUCACCCAGGAUUCUGGCCUGCACUAUCGGUGGAUGAUGGCGCUCUCGGGUGAUGUGGGGGAUGGGGGAAGAAACCCGGCAUUCCUUUUGGGUGCGUUAAGUUUGCGAUGCCUACAGGAUGGCUGAGUGGCCGUGUUAGGACAAUAGCUAUGUGCAAAAGACUGAUGUCCGGAGAGGGGAGCUGUGCUGGGGAUGGACAUCUGAAACCCUUGAAAAUGGAAGACGUCACCCAUCACCUAAAGAGAGGGUGGAGAAAGGAAAGAAGGGAACCAGGGAACCUGGCACCAGAUCCAAAGAGGCUCAGCCUAAUACCAGAGGCUUACCUCACUGGCUGCUGCAGAAAAUAAGUGUUAGUGGUGAGCCUCCUCAUUCUAUUCCUGACCUCAGAGGGGACACUUUCAAUAUUUCACCAGUAAGUGUGAGAUCUGUGGUAGGAUUUUUAAAU